RNAcentral lists this ribosomal RNA (261 nucleotides) under uncultured bacterium. RNAcentral's name for it is "partial 16S ribosomal RNA". It matches the Rfam family "Bacterial small subunit ribosomal RNA", at positions 524 to 776 of the family's 1533-position model. The record is from RNAcentral.
GACAGAGGGUGCAAACGUUGUUCGGAAUUACUGGGCGUAAAGCGAGUGUAGGCGGUUUCCUAAGUCAGGGUGUGAAAAGCCCCCGGGGCUCAACCCCGGGAAGUGCACUUGAAACUGGGAAGGCUAGAGUACUGGAGAGGUUGGUGGAAUUCUCGGUGUAGAGGUGAAAUUCGUAGAUAAUCGAGAGGAACACCGGUGGCGAAGGCGGCCAACUGGACAAGAUACUGACGCUGAGACUCGAAAGCGUGGGGAGCAAACAGG